AUUGAACGCUGGCGGCAUGCUUUACACAUGCAAGUCGAACGGUAACAGGCCGCAAGGUGCUGACGAGUGGCGAACGGGUGAGUAAUGCAUCGGAACGUGCCCAGUCGUGGGGGAUAACUACUCGAAAGAGUAGCUAAUACCGCAUACGAUCUAUGGAUGAAAGCGGGGGACCGUAAGGCCUCGCGCGAUUGGAGCGGCCGAUGUCAGAUUAGGUAGUUGGUGGGGUAAAGGCUCACCAAGCCAACGAUCUGUAGCUGGUCUGAGAGGACGACCAGCCACACUGGGACUGAGACACGGCCCAGACUCCUACGGGAGGCAGCAGUGGGGAAUUUUGGACAAUGGGCGCAAGCCUGAUCCAGCAAUGCCGCGUGAAGGAAGAAGGCCUUCGGGUUGUAAACUGCUUUUGUACGGAACGAAACGGCUCUGGUUAAUACCCGGGGCUAAUGACGGUACCGGAAGAAUAAGCACCGGCUAACUACGUG
This 482-nucleotide ribosomal RNA is filed under the name uncultured bacterium. RNAcentral describes it as "partial 16S ribosomal RNA". It matches the Rfam family "Bacterial small subunit ribosomal RNA", at positions 30 to 507 of the family's 1533-position model. The record is from RNAcentral.